Lagopus leucura (white-tailed ptarmigan) is the source of this 411-nucleotide long non-coding RNA. RefSeq lists it as uncharacterized. The transcript has 3 exons. The record is from RefSeq and is a predicted model, not a curated record. NCBI's taxonomy places the organism in Eukaryota, Metazoa, Chordata, Aves, Galliformes, Phasianidae.
GGUCUGCAGAGUGCCGCCUCAGCGGCGGGAAGUGCGAGGCAAACUCUUCGCCCCGUCCGUGAGCCGAAAGGACCGCUUUGUGCUAGCGAGAAGUAGGUGUUCCCGACUCGCGAACAUCCACUUGUCGUGGUGAGAACGCUGCUGGAUACUGUAACAACUACACGAGCGUUUGCGCUCAGCAAAAUCCCAGCAGAAUGAGUUAUCAGAAAAUGGAUGAAAGAGUGCCCUCCAGAGGCAGAAUUCCACUGAAUAAAACUCCAAGAUACGGGGAAGAGGAAUUGGAGAACGUAAACAUUACGGCCGUAGCUAGAAAAGUUGGCUUUGCUCAACAUUCACAUAAAUACAAACAAACGUAACCACAGCUGGGAGAACACAUCAAAUUCUUCGAAAGGACAAAGAAUUUAAAUGUGG